This 272-nucleotide unclassified non-coding RNA is filed under the name Trichoderma sp. Its description in RNAcentral is "partial internal transcribed spacer region". The stretch from base 1 to 46 matches the Rfam family "Eukaryotic small subunit ribosomal RNA", at positions 1786 to 1831 of the family's 1831-position model. The record is from RNAcentral. Lineage: Eukaryota; Fungi; Ascomycota; Sordariomycetes; Hypocreales; Hypocreaceae.
AAGUCGUAACAAGGUCUCCGUUGGUGAACCAGCGGAGGGAUCAUUACCGAGUUUACAACUCCCAAACCCAAUGUGAACGCUACCACUGUUGCCUCGGCGGGAUCGCCCCGGGCGCGUCGCAGCCCCGGGCCAAGGCGCCCGCCGCAGGGAAACCAAAACCCUACUGUUUCGGCCGCCCCCGCGGCGGCCACCAGAUACUUCUGAGCUUCUCCGACGCUCCCUGGAGCGGACGAAAUGAAUCAAAACUUUCAACAACGGAUCUCUUGGCUCUG